AUGGUGGCUGUCAAAGAGCAGACAAAUACUAAAUUGGGCAACACAAGGCUAGCUCUAUCUGACCUAAAGGUAGAACUUGAGAAGAAGAGAAUGGUUGACAAAUCAGUGACCAACAUUCAUCAGGUGGUCAGGGAAAAGGCAGAGAAAAAGAGGGAUGAGAUGAAGCAAGAGAAGGACAAAAUGAUAGAAGAGAGGGAUAAAUUGAAGGAAGAAAGGGAUGAGCUGAAGAAAGAGAUAAAGAAGCUAGAGUAUAUGAUUGGUGACCUGUGCAAGCAUAAGGAGGACACCAGGUGCAAGAUAAGGAAGGUUAGGGAGAUGCUAGAUGAAUUUGAGUGA
RNAcentral lists this ribosomal RNA (336 nucleotides) under Triticum aestivum (bread wheat). Its description in RNAcentral is "partial small subunit ribosomal RNA". The record is from RNAcentral. Lineage: Eukaryota; Viridiplantae; Streptophyta; Magnoliopsida; Poales; Poaceae.